Anguilla rostrata (American eel) is the source of this 1999-nucleotide long non-coding RNA. RefSeq lists it as uncharacterized. The transcript has 6 exons. NCBI's taxonomy places the organism in Eukaryota, Metazoa, Chordata, Actinopteri, Anguilliformes, Anguillidae. The record is from RefSeq and is a predicted model, not a curated record.
UCCCAAAUCUACAUUGUUACAUGUGGUAGAUUGAACGUGACGGUGUUCGCGUAGACAGCUAGUUAAUUGAGCAGUAAAAACAAAAACAUGGUGGAAACAAAACAUGAGUGCACACCGCCUUUGGAGUUUUCUGUUUAUUUACUUCAAAGUACUAAUAGAAGAAUGCUACAGAAGGACACACUGAUGUAUCCUUCGCUGGGAGGAGAUGAGGAGCCGAGUUGGAAGCUGCUUUGCUUGGCUUCUCCAAUAUUGGGACACUGGAGGGAGGGAGUACACAAAUAUCGAUGUCCAGGGCACGGAGGAGAUGAGGUAUCCCACAUGCAGAACAAGGCAAAGAGGAGUGCCCAGCCAAUGGUGGAAUUGCAGUCUGUCUGGCGACUGGAGAAGCAACUGCAAGGGAUUUUUAUUACAUUGAUAGAGAAUUCCCUACGGUGGGAGUGCUUCACAAGGCCAGGUCAACUCAGAUGAAGCGAAGGUGCCUUUUAUGUGGGAUUGUUCGUCUGCGGAUUUGGUGAUGGGCAGAAGGAUGAGUCCACGGUGAACCCAGAAGCCUGCGCCUCCUUCAGAGACCUGUCGCCACUCUGCUGACUGGAGUCCAGACCCACAGAUCUUUUACAAGGUCUGACUGUCACUAAUUGUUCCAUGGUGUGGAGUAAAUCAACGAGACGCCAGCUUACUCUUUCUGCUCCCCGCAGCCUAGAUCAAUGGAAGACUCAGGAGAACAGGACCAGAGCACGGGCCUUUCAGAGGCCUGUCAGCAUGCCACAGGCUCCCCACAGGAAUAUCAAUGAGGGGCCCCCUCGCUGCCCUGGACUGAUUGAAGAGGCUUCCGUCAAAAGUGCUCCCUACGGUUGCUGCCACUGUGGACAAGCAGAUCCCCAGAACCUCAGGAACAACACUUAAACUAAAACAAAGCAGAUGAGCACACGUCUAUGGGGAAUGAAGGAAAAUAUCUUCCCUGGGCGUAUUGAGAAAAUAGAGUGGGACCACUGGGAUUCAGUAAAUGGGUCGAUGAAAAACAGCAGAAUUUUGACUUUUGGAAUUUUGGGUUCUUAUCAGACAAAAUUAAUGUAUGCAUUUCUGGAAGAGUCCCUUGUUUGUAUUUGCAUCCUGAGGUAAACAUGGCUUAUAAUCUCAGUGUUGCACUAAUGCAUACGGGCAUGUAAGACUGUCAAAACAGUGAUACUAUGGAUGGAAAUAGUUGUAGCUUUCUUGCAGUCUGUGGUCAUGAAGAAGGUAACCCCACAAUGCUUUCUGUCUCCAAAGUGUCUAAAAUAUAACGGGUUGUUUUGGGGGACUGGUUUGCUUCAAACAUCGCUGAGAAAAAAUAGAGCAAUCAUGGGAGAUCUGGUAAUUCAUCAACGCAAAAAAAAGAUAAAUAAUUCCCAGCGGGGGGCACGGAAAGCGAUGGUGACAAGAAGUUUAUGAUAAUGUGAUGAAGAGUGGUAAUGUAUUCACUGAGCAUUUGAACCUGGUCCAGGGCUCCCACGCUGCAUGACUCACCGUGUGAAAGGUACAUUUGCAGAUGAAAUCUCUGAGAACAUUUGAUUUCAUUUCUGCAUACCGUGGUGUCAGUGCGGCGCCAAGUUCCCUCAGUCCAUUUAGUUCCCUCUAAAUGGAAAAUACAGUGCUGCCGUAGAAGGGAAAGAAAUGCAGUGCUGGGAUUCUCCGUUCUCCAGAGGCCUGUGACAGAACUCGCAGGCUUCUCAAGUGUCAUCCUGCAGUGGGUUUUUGCCAAUAGAUGUUUUCCAUCCUGUUUUUGGAGUUCAAAGUUUGACCUUAGCUGGGAGGAGGGUUGUAGGAAAUGUUUGUUUCUGCGUGUGUCCAACCCCUGGUGAACCGCUUGAAGCCAGGCUGUAAAGCCUGUUCUGUCUUGCGUUGUUGAUUUUGGUAAGGGAACAAGAAGCAGGAGCCUCCCUGGUUCUGUCAUCAUGCUGGGUCUGUCACAGUGUCCUGCUGCUCCUCUGCUCUGUCCAAUAAAUCCUUAUCUCCCUCUCUA